RNAcentral lists this ribosomal RNA (445 nucleotides) under uncultured bacterium. RNAcentral describes it as "partial 16S ribosomal RNA". It matches the Rfam family "Bacterial small subunit ribosomal RNA", at positions 354 to 796 of the family's 1533-position model. The record is from RNAcentral.
GUGAGGAAUAUUGGACAAUGGGCGCAAGCCUGAUCCAGCCAUGCCGCGUGCAGGAAGACGCAUCUAUGGUGUGUAAACUGCUUUUGUACGGGAAGAAACACUCCCUCGUGAGGGAGCUUGACGGUACCGUAAGAAUAAGGAUCGGCUAACUCCGUGCCAGCAGCCGCGGUAAUACGGAGGAUCCAAGCGUUAUCCGGAAUCAUUGGGUUUAAUGGGUCCGUAGGCGGUUUAAUAAGUCAGUGGUGAAAGCCCAUCGCUCAACGAUGGAACGGCCAUUGAUACUGUUAGACUUGAAUUACAAGGAAGUAACUAGAAUAGGUAGUGUAGCGGUGAAAUGCUUAGAUAUUACAUGGAAUACCAAUUGCGAAGGCAGGUUACUACUUGUGGAUUGACGCUGAUGGACGAAAGCGUGGGGAGCGAACAGGAUUAGAAACCCCGGUAGUCC